This 460-nucleotide ribosomal RNA is filed under the name uncultured bacterium. Its description in RNAcentral is "partial 16S ribosomal RNA". It matches the Rfam family "Bacterial small subunit ribosomal RNA", at positions 338 to 795 of the family's 1533-position model. The record is from RNAcentral.
CCUACGGGGGGCAGCAGUGAGGAAUAUUGGUCAAUGGACGAGAGUCUGAACCAGCCAAGUAGCGUGAAGGAUGACUGCCCUAUGGGUUGUAAACUUCUUUUAUAUGGGAAUAAAACGUUCCACGUGUGGGAUUUUGUAUGUACCAUAUGAAUAAGGAUCGGCUAACUCCGUGCCAGCAGCCGCGGUAAUACGGAGGAUCCGAGCGUUAUCCGGAUUUAUUGGGUUUAAAGGGAGCGUAGGUGGAUUGUUAAGUCAGUUGUGAAAGUUUGCGUCUCAACCGUAAAAUUGCAGUUGAAACUGGCAGUCUUGAGUACAGUAGAGGUGGGCGGAAUUCGUGGUGUAGCGGUGAAAUGCUUAGAUAUCACGAAGAACUCCGAUUGCGAAGGCAGUUCACUGGACUGCAACUGACACUGAGGCUCGAAAGUGUGGGUAUCAAACAGGAUUAGAUACCCUUGUAGUC